UACGGGGGGGGCAAGCGUUGUUCGGAAUUACUGGGCGUAAAGGGCUCGUAGGCGGCUUUGCAAGUCGGGUGUGAAAUCCCCAGGCUUAACCUGGGAACUGCAUUCGAGACUGCAUUGCUAGAGUAUGGGAGAGGGAAGUGGAAUUUCCGGUGUAGCGGUGAAAUGCGUAGAUAUCGGAAGGAACAUCAGUGGCGAAAGCGACUUCCUGGACCAAUACUGACGCUCAUGUGCGAAAGCGUGGGGAGCAAACAGG
Molecule: ribosomal RNA, 253 nt
Filed under: uncultured bacterium
Lineage: Bacteria
Description: partial 16S ribosomal RNA
Rfam family: Bacterial small subunit ribosomal RNA
Source: RNAcentral